RNAcentral lists this ribosomal RNA (1346 nucleotides) under uncultured bacterium. RNAcentral's name for it is "bacterial SSU rRNA". It matches the Rfam family "Bacterial small subunit ribosomal RNA", at positions 28 to 1381 of the family's 1533-position model. The record is from RNAcentral.
GACGAACGCUGGCGGCGUGCUUAACACAUGCAAGUCGAACGGAAAGGCCCUGCUUUUGUGGGGUGCUCGAGUGGCGAACGGGUGAGUAACACGUGAGUAACCUGCCCUUGACUUUGGGAUAACUUCAGGAAACUGGGGCUAAUACCGGAUAGGAGCUCCUGCUGCAUGGUGGGGGUUGGAAAGUUUCGGCGGUUGGGGAUGGACUCGCGGCUUAUCAGCUUGUUGGUGGGGUAGUGGCUUACCAAGGCUUUGACGGGUAGCCGGCCUGAGAGGGCGACCGGCCACAUUGGGACUGAGAUACGGCCCAGACUCCUACGGGAGGCAGCAGUGGGGAAUAUUGCACAAUGGGCGGAAGCCUGAUGCAGCAACGCCGCGUGCGGGAUGACGGCCUUCGGGUUGUAAACCGCUUUCGCCUGUGACGAAGCGUGAGUGACGGUAAUGGGUAAAGAAGCACCGGCUAACUACGUGCCAGCAGCCGCGGUGAUACGUAGGGUGCGAGCGUUGUCCGGAUUUAUUGGGCGUAAAGGGCUCGUAGGUGGUUGAUCGCGUCGGAAGUGUAAUCUUGGGGCUUAACCCUGAGCGUGCUUUCGAUACGGGUUGACUUGAGGAAGGUAGGGGAGAAUGGAAUUCCUGGUGGAGCGGUGGAAUGCGCAGAUAUCAGGAGGAACACCAGUGGCGAAGGCGGUUCUCUGGGCCUUUCCUGACGCUGAGGAGCGAGAGCGUGGGGAGCGAACAGGCUUAGAUACCCUGGUAGUCCACGCUGUAAACGGUGGGUACUAGGUGUGGGGUCCAUUCCACGGGUUCCGUGCCGUAGCUAACGCUUUAAGUACCCCGCCUGGGGAGUACGGCCGCAAGGCUAAAACUCAAAGGAAUUGACGGGGCCCCGCACAAGCGGCGGAGCAUGCGGAUUAAUUCGAUGCAACGCGUAGAACCUUACCUGGGUUUGACAUGGAUCGGGAGCGCUCAGAGAUGGGUGUGCCUCUUUUGGGGUCGGUUCACAGGUGGUGCAUGGCUGUCGUCAGCUCGUGUCGUGAGAUGUUGGGUUAAGUCCCGCAACGAGCGCAACCCUUGUUCACUGUUGCCAGCACGUUAUGGUGGGGACUCAGUGGAGACCGCCGGGGUCAACUCGGAGGAAGGUGGGGAUGACGUCAAGUCAUCAUGCCCCUUAUGUCCAGGGCUUCACGCAUGCUACAAUGGCUGGUACAGAGAGUGGCGAGCCUGUGAGGGUGAGCGAAUCUCGGAAAGCCGGUCUCAGUUCGGAUUGGGGUCUGCAACUCGACCUCAUGAAGUCGGAGUCGCUAGUAAUCGCAGAUCAGCAACGCUGCGGUGAAUACGUUCCCGGGGCU